CGACGUGAGGAACCUGCCUUUCAGAGGGGGACAACAGCUGGAAACGGCUGCUAAUACCGCAUAACACAUAGGUGUCGCAUGGCAUUUAUGUCAAAGAUUUAUCGCUGAGAGAUGGCCUCGCGUCUGAUUAGCUAGUUGGUAGGGUAACGGCCUACCAAGGCGACGAUCAGUAGCCGGACUGAGAGGUUGGCCGGCCACAUUGGGACUGAGAUACGGCCCAGACUCCUACGGAAGGCAGCAG
RNAcentral lists this ribosomal RNA (241 nucleotides) under uncultured bacterium. Its description in RNAcentral is "partial 16S ribosomal RNA". It matches the Rfam family "Bacterial small subunit ribosomal RNA", at positions 113 to 354 of the family's 1533-position model. The record is from RNAcentral.